RNAcentral lists this ribosomal RNA (253 nucleotides) under uncultured bacterium. RNAcentral describes it as "partial 16S ribosomal RNA". It matches the Rfam family "Bacterial small subunit ribosomal RNA", at positions 524 to 776 of the family's 1533-position model. The record is from RNAcentral.
UACGAAGGGGGCUAGCGUUGCUCGGAAUCACUGGGCGUAAAGCGCACGUAGGCGGAUUGCUAAGUCAGGGGUGAGAUCCUGGAGCUCAACUCCAGAACUGCCUUUGAUACUGGCGAUCUCGAGUCCGGGAGAGGUGAGUGGAACUGCGAGUGUAGAGGUGAAAUUCGUAGAUAUUCGCAAGAACACCAGUGGCGAAGGCGGCUCACUGGCCCGGUACUGACGCUGAGGUGCGAAAGCGUGGGGAGCAAACAGG